GAUGAACGCUAGCUACAGGCUUAACACAUGCAAGUCGAGGGGAAACGGCAUUGAGUGCUUGCACUCUUUGGACGUCGACCGGCGCACGGGUGAGUAACGCGUAUCCAACCUUCCCAUUACUGUGGGAUAACCUGCCGAAAGGCAGACUAAUACCGCAUAGUCUUCGAUGACGGCAUCAGAUUUGAAGUAAAGAUUUAUCGGUAAUGGAUGGGGAUGCGUCUGAUUAGCUUGUUGGCGGGGUAACGGCCCACCAAGGCGACGAUCAGUAGGGGUUCUGAGAGGAAGGUCCCCCACAUUGGAACUGAGACACGGUCCAAACUCCUACGGGAGGCAGCAGUGAGGAAUAUUGGUCAAUGGACGGAAGUCUGAACCAGCCAAGUAGCGUGCAGGAUGACGGCCCUAUGGGUUGUAAACUGCUUUUGUAUGGGGAUAAAGUUAGGGACGUGUCCCUAUUUGCAGGUAUCAUACGAAUAAGGACCGGCUAAUUCCGUGCCAGCAGCCGCGGUAAUACGGAAGGUCCAGGCGUUAUCCGGAUUUAUUGGGUUUAAAGGGAGCGUAGGCUGGAGAUUAAGUGUGUUGUGAAAUGUAGACGCUCAACGUCUGAAUUGCAGCGCAUACUGGUUUCCUUGAGUACGCACAACGUUGGCGGAAUUCGUCGUGUAGCGGUGAAAUGCUUAGAUAUGACGAAGAACUCCGAUUGCGAAGGCAGCUGACGGGAGCGCAACUGACGCUUAAGCUCGAAGGUGCGGGUAUCAAACAGG
RNAcentral lists this ribosomal RNA (761 nucleotides) under Prevotella melaninogenica. Its description in RNAcentral is "bacterial SSU rRNA". It matches the Rfam family "Bacterial small subunit ribosomal RNA", at positions 28 to 776 of the family's 1533-position model. The record is from RNAcentral. Lineage: Bacteria; Pseudomonadati; Bacteroidota; Bacteroidia; Bacteroidales; Prevotellaceae.